Molecule: ribosomal RNA, 373 nt
Filed under: uncultured organism
Description: bacterial SSU rRNA
Rfam family: Bacterial small subunit ribosomal RNA
Source: RNAcentral
CGUAGGGUGCGAGCGUUAAUCGGAAUUACUGGGCGUAAAGCGUGCGCAGGCGGUUUAGUAAGACAGGCGUGAAAUCCCCGGGCUCAACCUGGGAACUGCGCUUGUGACUGCUAAGCUAGAGUACGGCAGAGGGGGUGGAAUUCCACGUGUAGCAGUGAAAUGCGUAGAGAUGUGGAGGAACACCAAUCGGCGAAGGCAGCCCCCUGGGUCGAUACUGACGCUCAUGCACGAAAGCGUGGGUAGCAAACAGGAUUAGAUACCCUGGUAGUCCACGCCCCAAACGAUGUCAACUAGGUGUUGGGAGGGUAAAACCUUUUAGUACCGGAGCUAACGCGUGAAGUUGACCGCCGUGGGGAGUACGGCCGCAAGGUUA